Vollenhovia emeryi is the source of this 1719-nucleotide RNA transcript. RefSeq lists it as uncharacterized. The transcript has 6 exons. Lineage: Eukaryota; Metazoa; Arthropoda; Insecta; Hymenoptera; Formicidae. The record is from RefSeq and is a predicted model, not a curated record.
ACCCCCCCCCCCCCAUGUGUGUAUGAGUUUUUUAAAUAACUUUUCUUUCAGAUAUGCAGAAUCCGCUAGCAAUUCUAUAAUCAUACAAUAUUAUUUGUACAUCAGUAAGUGUUGCUUACAGUUUGCGAAAUUAUUGGUUCCGGGGUGUAGCCUUGAUCUUCUGCUUGAAGUAUUAGCUUAUAAUUUCCUUAUUUUAGUAUGGUUUAUCAAAUAUAUCGCUUUUUCUUCUGUUAUGAGAAACAUAAAACGAUUACAAAAAUAUAUCCAAAAUAAUUGGAGCAUUCUGGCAGACGAUCGAGAGAUUAAUAUAAUGUACAAAUAUACAAACAUUGGAAAACAAUCUACAAUAGUUAUAGCAACAUGCGUCUAUUUUGGAAUUAUUGGUUUCACUAUGGUACAAUAUAUUCCGGAUUUACUUGAUUUUGUAAUGCCUUUAAAUGAAUCUCGUCCACGUAUACUUCUCCAUCAGGCGAAAAAUUUUAUCGACCACCAAAAAUAUUUUCAUAUCUUAAUAAUACAUGAUGUUAUUGGGAUACUCCUUGUUGGAACUACUGGAAUAGCUGCUGAAUCAUUUUCAUUAGUAAACGCAAUACAUGCUUUCGGAAUGUUUAAAAUUGCUAGUUAUCGUAUGGAACGUAUGUUAAGCAUAGAUGUUUCACAAAUAUCCAUAGCCAAAAGCUAUAUUAUAUUCCAUGAUAGGCUAAGUGCCGCAGUGGACAUUCACAGAAGAGCGCUUAAGUUUUCGGACUUAUUAAAAGUAAGCUUGGGACCAUCGUAUCUACUUAUGAUGGUAACAGCUAUAUGUUCAGCAAUAGUUUCUUUCUUUCGUGUACGUAUAUACUGGUUAUAUAUAAUUAUGAUCGCUAGUUUUAUAAGUAUUGAAAUCAUCGAUUUUACUUCCAGCUAUUUCGAAUAGUGACGCUGCAUCAGGAAAAAAUGGAAAUUAUUAAAUUAAUUUGUUAUGUGAUUUUUCUUUUUUUAUUUAUAGUUAUAGGUAAUUUUGUUGGGCAAGAAUUUAUAAAUCACGACGAGCAUGUCCAUCACACGAUGUAUGUCAUGUAUUUAAUAUAUCCUUUUACAACCCGUAAUAUUGCAUCAAAAAUUUGUACAUACCUAUAUCGGUUCUAUAUAAAAAUAUGAUGUAAUACGAAAUGGUACCAGACCCCAUUAAAGAUACAAAAAUUUGUACUUUUUGUGAUGAGAAAAACUACAAAAACUUACAAAGUUGAUGCUGGUGGUUUGUUUAGUCCCUCUUUGGAAACUUUGGCCACGGUUCGAAAUCAUAUUAUUAAUAAAUAUAAUCAUCAUAUCAUUCAGCUUCUUAAAUAAUACUUUUUCGUUUUAGAGCAUGAGUUUAAUGCUUUCGUGUCUGACGCUUUUAUGUUCCAUACAACAAUAACUUCAGUUGUAAAAGAUACAUCGAUAAAUUUUAUAAUCUUAUGGAGACACAUGAUAAUGUUAUUGGAUCUCUCACAAUCAUAUCAAUUUUAACAAAAUAUUUUUAAUAAGCAAUGUGAUUAAAGAUUUUAAUUAAAAAAAUAUUAUCUUGAUUCCUUUGUUUCUAACUUUACACUGUUUCGUACACACACACACUUACACACAACUAUGUAUACUUCUCAUAAUCGUUUUCGAAUAAAAAUAUUUCUUGUAUUAUAUUGUGCCAAAUAAAAACAAUAUACUUAUUAUUGUAAGCAAAGAAGUCAUCAUCACGUCAUGUUU